Molecule: long non-coding RNA, 316 nt
Organism: Rhopalosiphum padi (bird cherry-oat aphid)
Lineage: Eukaryota; Metazoa; Arthropoda; Insecta; Hemiptera; Aphididae
Exons: 2
Source: RefSeq, a predicted model, not a curated record
AGCAGCGUUGUCAGUCAUUGAGUUCCUACAUUAUAUUAUACAUUAUUUUUAUAAUUUCAGCACAAUACGAUAUCUGAAUGUGACGGUAUUGUAAAAUACGAGGUAUCUCCAUAUCUACCAUGUUUUUUAUGGAACAAUCACAGAGUAAAUACGGUCAGUGUAUUUCCGAAAUCAAAGAAAAACGAGGGUUUCUUUUACGAACAAAACCCUUAGAAGAUUGAAAAACUUUGUGAAGCGAUGAGAUUUUCUGAAGUAGAAACCCUAUAGUUAUUUUAUAAAAAUACAAAUAAAAGUUGAGUACAAUUUAAUGGAAAAA